This 2245-nucleotide unclassified non-coding RNA is filed under the name Leishmania donovani. Its description in RNAcentral is "gene:LdHU3.13.0310(CDS-product:hypothetical_prote in_conserved)". Lineage: Eukaryota; Euglenozoa; Kinetoplastea; Trypanosomatida; Trypanosomatidae. The record is from RNAcentral.
GAAAGCACGCAGAGUUCAAGAGAGAACAUGUUCGAGCCUUUGCGUGAGUUGCUCUUGGAGGACCCGCAGGCACUCAUAGAAGAUGAGCGUGUGCUUGGUGAGAAGGCCGGGCGGCUGUUUGGCUUUCGCGACUUCAGUGCCUACGCCACGCUCGGCGGCGCCGUUUAUCCACUGCUGCGGUGUGCCAACGAUGGUGUCGUGUCGUGGGGCGCAGUGCACGGCGUGAAUGGCUCCAGCAACGGCAGCGGGAGUACGCGGACCACCAACUCGGCCUCAUCUUUGCCCGCAGGCGGGGAUGCUGUCCUCACAUCGUCGUCGCUGCACGGCCAAGGCGAGGUGAAUACGAGGUGGUGGCCGUCGCUGGCGACUGCGACAGACGCGCGCCGGCGCUCUCGCCACGGACGUCGCUCAUGGCUUCAACAGCUGUGGGCAUCUGCGCCGCAUCUCAUUCCGCAUCUCGCCCACUGUCUCGUCAAGGCGGCGUCGUUUGCACUGCCGGGCCUUCGCAGCGUGUUCCCAACUGCUCUACCGGGUGCACGGCGGCUGCUACUGGCGCGGCGGUCUCGCUGUGGUGGGCCUGAGCGUGUAACGGGACUUAGCUUCCAUCCUUCGUACAUGUGGCUUGCGGUAGCGGUGGAAGAGGGCGGCGCCGACGCUUCAACGCGCGUCGUUGUUUACGACGUGGGCGAGGGAAGGGUGAUGUGUGUACUGACGCACGCCUUUCAGACGAAGGUGAGCUGGUUGCAGUGGAGGCCUCAGUCGCGCGAUGUCCUGGCGGUGGGGUGCUGCGGCGGUGUGCUGCUGUGGAGACUGUUUGCGGACUCCUCAGGAAGCGCCGCUGCUGCGCCCUGGUCCGCUCCCAAGGCAUUCGCGAACGCGGACGUCUCCGCACGCGCUUUGUUCUAUCGCGCCCGCAGCGGCUUCACCGUCACUGCCGGUGCCUUUGCGCAUCAAGACGCGAACACCCUCGCCUGCGCAAGCGUUGGCGACACGCGCCUCGUUUUUCUCCAGUUGAAUGAGCCGCCCUUUCAGCCGCAGGCGUGCGGCACCGUUGUCGUUCCCUCUGUCGACGGCGGCCUGGGCCAGGUGGUGUUCGAUGACGAUGACUUGUUCCUGCUCUGCACGGUGUGCGAGCACGGUUCCCUGGCGCUGGUGCGCAUUCGGCCCUCACCCACAUCUGCAUCCGCCGCUUCGUCGGUCGCGGCGUUCCAGUCGUGUGUCGUGCCUACACCAGCCCCGGUGGACUGCGUCGCUCGUGCCACGGGCCUCGGACCUUCCCUCUACUUUAUGAGCACCGCCAGGCUCGAGGGCGUCUUGCUCGCCCGCAUCAACCCCUUCAUCGGCGUCGAGGUCGUCUCGAUGAUCUCCACCGGAUUGUACCGCGGCGUGGGUGGCUGUGUCACCGGCUUGGAGUGCAGCCGCCGCCGUCUGUGGAUCCAAACAGAGACGAACCACUUGCUGGUGUGCCGGUGCGGGCUGCGGGACGGCGCCAUCUCGCUAAUCCCUAUCGGGGUCGCGGCGAUAGAGGUGGUUGCAAUGGCGUCCUUCGCAGGGUGCACGACGGGCUCUCUCCUCGCAGCGGUGGAGGUAGACGGCACCAUACACUUUCUUCCCUCGUAUCAUGGCUAGUAUCUCGAGGGGCACGCGCAGACUCGGACGCUCAUGCACGCUACCGUGUGGCGUCCGCGCCGAUGAGCCAGAGACAUGCAAGGAUGUGUGCGUACUGACAACGUUGGUGCCUGCGCGUGCGCCUGGGGUAUUGCAAGAGAUGCCGAGGCGACGAUCAGCAACGCAAGGAGAGCGCUAAGGAAACCAUAAGCACUGCCGCCACCACACCAUCAUCGCCACAGAACUUCAUAAAGUAGCGGCAGAGCAGAGGCGCACAUGCGGAACUCAUAGACGGACCCGCGUCAGCGUCAGGAGGACCGCAUGAAGACGCACGGGGAGGGGGCCCUUUACGGAGCGACGUAGGCGCAAAUUCAGACGGUGUAGGGUAGGCCGAGAUGUGGGUGAGCGAUUUGCUGCUCUCGGAGUUGCCCACGAAGAGUCGAGCAGAUCAGUGAAUCUGUGGGCUCAGAUCGCUUGAUGACUGCCCUCUGGAGCCUCCUCGAUCUCCUCUCCUCUGCGCUCUCUCGCUGAGGUGUUUUGGCGUGUACUGAUGUCUCGUGCGCGCCUCGCGCUCUUUGCUAUCCUCCCUUCUCUGCGCGUUCCUCUCUCUAUCCUCCCUUCUCUUGAACGCGCAUAG